Molecule: long non-coding RNA, 1767 nt
Organism: Hemibagrus wyckioides
Lineage: Eukaryota; Metazoa; Chordata; Actinopteri; Siluriformes; Bagridae
Exons: 6
Source: RefSeq, a predicted model, not a curated record
CACAGUAGUGUAUAUUUGCUUUCGGUUUCAGUUUAGAGUCUCAUGUCAGUAGGUGGCGGUAUCAGCAUCUUGCAGAAAACCUGGAAGGUGGUAGGAGAAGAUUAAUACUGUGAAGGGACACUGAAAUAAAAGUGGAGCUACGCAACUAUAAACUGAAUUUUUUUGCAGAAUUCAAUUGAUUGAAGAGAAAUGGGACAUUCGGGGUCCAAAUCAUCGUUGCCACCACCAGAAAGACCAGAAUUUACCAGCCCAUGGAGGCCCAUGACUUGGGAUAAACGUGAAAUUGAGCAGAAACUGAGGAACUUCAGUCUGAACAAAUCAAGUUUGUCAGGAUUCUGGUUGUUGGUGAAGUUGGAGCAGGAAAGUCCAGUUUUAUAAACUCAGUCAUUAAUACUUUCCAAAGAAGAGUCACCUCUAGGGCUCUAGUUGAUGGAAUAGGUGGAACCAGUUUCACAAAGUUGUGAGUAUUUGUUUCAUUGUUAUUACAUCAUUUACAGCUGCUUGGGGUACACUUUGAUUUUUAUUUAGUCACCAGUAACAAAUGAACAGAAACAAUAAUAUAUUUGAGUUUGUCUUUUAGUAUAAAACCCAUUACAUUGAAGGAGAGGAUGGUUCCCCUUUGCCUUUUGUCUUCAAUGAUAGUAUGGGACUUGAACGUGAAGAAGGUGGUGCACGUUCAGAAGACAUCAUCAGUGCCAUGAAAGGGUUUCUUCAGGAAGGACACAAAGUGAAAAGAGCCUUGAAAGCUUGACUAUAAGAUGUAUAAUAUACUGAAGAAAUUGAUAUUUGCAUAUUAACACAUGAAUUACAGACCUAUUUAUUAUUUCUUCCAUGCACACAUUCAGUUUAAUCCCCUAAGCCCGGUGUCCCCAAAUGAUCCUGGCUACAGGAGCAACCCAAGUACUGAGGAUCAAACCUUCUGCCUUGUCAACAUUAUAGCAGCUGACAAAGUAUCACUGAUGCAUGAUGAUGUCUUUGCUAAACUAAAAAGAAUUCGUGAGGAAGCAACAAAUCUGAACCUACCUCAGGUAAUCAUCAUGACAAGACCAGAUAUAGCAUGCCCACUAGUUCACAGUGACCUAAGGAAGCUCUACUACAGCAGGAAAAUCAAAGACAAGAUGCAGGAGUGUAGUAAUCGGCUGGGUAUUCCAAUGAAUCACAUCUUCCCUGUGAAGAACUACCAUGAGGAGAUAGACACAAUGAAUGACAUGGAUUUUCUGAUCCUCAAGGCACUUGAUCAGAUUGUGAACGUUGCUGCUGAUGCAGUGCAGCAACCAUCGUUUAAAUCCAGCUCCCAACAUGAGUAGUAAUGCAGAUUCCAACACUUCAGUCAGGUUACUGCAUUAUAAAAUGAUCUACAAUAUUUAAAAAUCUAAUAGUCGUUACUUCUAAAUCAAUCAGGUUACUAAAAAAGCUAAAAGAUAAACAUGUUGGGGAACAAUACAGGCAUGGUUUAUGAAAUGUUUCUUAUUAUCACUGUCUCUUUUUUUCCCCUUUAUUUUAAUUUCCUGUUGUGAUCAAAGAAAUCAAUUACAAGCAGUAAGAAAUUUGUUAUUCAAAAUGAACCAAUCAUCAGUUUUCUAUGUCUAUUCUUGUAACCUUCAUACAUUUUGCUUAUGUGUCGAUGUAAUGGUGUUUGUGUGCCUUUAGGCCGGACGGCAUGUCAUCUAGAUUUUUAUGUUAUAGUUAUGCUUAGCUGAGGUUAUUUUCCAUGUUAUAGUUAUGUUUUUUUUUUCUGUUAUGUGUAAUGUAGUAGUGUUUUGUGAA